Molecule: unclassified non-coding RNA, 251 nt
Filed under: plant metagenome
Description: partial contains small subunit ribosomal RNA, internal transcribed spacer 1, and 5.8S ribosomal RNA
Rfam family: Eukaryotic small subunit ribosomal RNA (bases 1-53)
Source: RNAcentral
GGAAGUAAAGUCGUAACAAGGUCUCCGUAGGUGAACCUGCGGAGGGAUCAUUACAGAGUUCUCGCCCUCGCGGGUAGAUCUCCCACCCACUGUUAUCGUUACUAUCGUUGCUUUGGCGGGCCGCCGGGUCCUGCCCGGCCCCCGGCCCCGGCUGGGGUGCGCCCGCCAAAGGCCCUACAAACUCUGAAUGUCAGUGUCGUCUGAGUACAAUACAAUAGUUAAAACUUUCAACAACGGAUCUCUUGGUUCUG